This 655-nucleotide long non-coding RNA is filed under the name Mus pahari (shrew mouse). RNAcentral's name for it is "hyaluronan synthase 2, opposite strand (MGP_PahariEiJ_G0012210.1)". Lineage: Eukaryota; Metazoa; Chordata; Mammalia; Rodentia; Muridae. The record is from RNAcentral.
GUGCAUUCCAAGUUCGCCCAAACGCAUCUGUAUAACGUACCUUGUUCAGCUCCUGCUCAUAGACUCGUCCUCCGCCUGUCUGUGUGGUCCCGGAGGGUCGUGGAAGGAAGUUUCCAAAAUUGAGGUGUGUAUNANAAAAAAAAAAAAAAAGAAUAGGAAGCAUCAGAAAAGCAAGGCUUAUCUGAAAAGAAAGUUGUUUUGGGGUGAAUCAAAAGCCGGUGUGCUCAAGGCUUGAGGUUCAAUGAAACACUAAAGAGCUUAAUACAAUGCUCUAUACUGCAGCACCAUCCUCUGGAUGGGGAUGCAGUUUGAAGAAGAAGGGAGAAUGAGGACGAGUCAUCACAUGCUCUUGUGUCCACGACUUCCCAGACAUGAUGGGGAUACCCUCAGAUGGUGAACCAAAAUAAACCCCUUCUUUCCUGACUUGCUCCUGUCAGGGUGUUUCAUCACAGCGACAUGACAAUAAAUCCCAAGCCACUCUCAAUAAAUCACUCUCAUGCUACAUAUUCUAAUGGAAGAGUCUACCCUACUUAAGAGUAACCUUUUUUUUUGUUGUUGUUGUUGUUGCUAUUUUAGUUUUCAAUAUCAUUUUUCUUCCUUUGUUAUCCUGCUCAAAAUUCAUCCGUGUCAUCUCUUCUACUGCCUGUCCUUUGCC